Molecule: unclassified non-coding RNA, 343 nt
Filed under: soil metagenome
Description: partial contains 5.8S ribosomal RNA, internal transcribed spacer 2, and large subunit ribosomal RNA
Rfam family: 5.8S ribosomal RNA (bases 1-119)
Source: RNAcentral
GAUGAAGAACGCAGCGAAAUGCGAUACGUAAUGUGAAUUGCAAAUUCAGUGAAUCAUCGAGUCUUUGAACGCACAUUGCGCCCCCUGGUAUUCCGGGGGGCAUGCCUGUCCGAGCGUCAUUACUGCCCUCAAGCCCGGCUUGUGUGUUGGGCCCCGUCCUCCGAUCCCGGGGGACGGGCCCGAAAGGCAGCGGCGGCACCGCGUCCGGUCCUCGAGCGUAUGGGGCUUUGUCACCCGCUCUGUAGGCCCGGCCGGCGCUUGCCGAUCAACCCCAAUUUUUAUAGGUUGACCUCGGAUCAGGUAGGGAUACCCGCUGAACUUAAGCAUAUCAAUAAGCGGAGGA